UACGUAGGGGGCUAGCGUUGUUCGGAAUCACUGGGCGUAAAGCGCACGUAGGCGGAUGUGUCAGUCAGGGGUGAAAUCCCGGGGCUCAACCUCGGAACUGCCUUUGAUACAGCACGUCUCGAGUCCGGAAGAGGUGGGUGGAAUUCCUAGUGUAGAGGUGAAAUUCGUAGAUAUUAGGAAGAACACCGGUGGCGAAGGCGGCCCACUGGUCCGGUACUGACGCUGAGGUGCGAAAGCGUGGGGAGCAAACAGG
This 253-nucleotide ribosomal RNA is filed under the name uncultured bacterium. RNAcentral's name for it is "partial 16S ribosomal RNA". It matches the Rfam family "Bacterial small subunit ribosomal RNA", at positions 524 to 776 of the family's 1533-position model. The record is from RNAcentral.